CCUACGGGAGGCAGCAGUGGGGAAUAUUGGACAAUGGGCGAAAGCCUGAUCCAGCCAUGCCGCGUGUGUGAAGAAGGCCUUCGGGUUGUAAAGCACUUUCAGUGGGGAAGAAAGCCUUGGGGCUAAUACCCUCGAGGAAGGACAUCACCCACAGAAGAAGCACCGGCUAACUCCGUGCCAGCAGCCGCGGUAAUACGGAGGGUGCGAGCGUUAAUCGGAAUUACUGGGCGUAAAGCGCGCGUAGGCGGUCUGAUAAGCCGGUUGUGAAAGCCCCGGGCUCAACCUGGGAACGGCAUCCGGAACUGUCAGGCUAGAGUGCAGGAGAGGAAGGUAGAAUUCCCGGUGGAGCGGUGAAAUGCGUAGAGAUCGGGAGGAAUACCAGUGGCGAAGGCGGUCUUCUGGACUGACACUGACGCUGAGGGGCGAAAGCGUGGGUAGCCAACAGGAUUAGAUACCCUUGUAGUC
This 465-nucleotide ribosomal RNA is filed under the name Vreelandella stevensii. Its description in RNAcentral is "partial 16S ribosomal RNA". It matches the Rfam family "Bacterial small subunit ribosomal RNA", at positions 338 to 795 of the family's 1533-position model. Lineage: Bacteria; Pseudomonadati; Pseudomonadota; Gammaproteobacteria; Oceanospirillales; Halomonadaceae. The record is from RNAcentral.